UCUUUAAGACAAUGAGAGAGGCUGGGCGCAGCGACUCAGGCCUGUAAUCCCAGCACUUUGGGAGGUGGAGGCGGGGGGAUCACUUGAGAUCAGGAGUUGGAGACCAGUC
Long non-coding RNA from Cebus imitator (Panamanian white-faced capuchin), 109 nucleotides. RefSeq lists it as uncharacterized. Lineage: Eukaryota; Metazoa; Chordata; Mammalia; Primates; Cebidae. The record is from RefSeq and is a predicted model, not a curated record. The transcript is spliced from 3 exons.